UCAAUACAAAGUAAAAUGGCCGCUAUGC
This 28-nucleotide non-coding RNA is filed under the name Bombyx mori (domestic silkworm). Lineage: Eukaryota; Metazoa; Arthropoda; Insecta; Lepidoptera; Bombycidae. The record is from RNAcentral.